AACGAACGCUGGCGGCAGGCCUAACACAUGCAAGUCGAGCGCCCCGCAAGGGGAGCGGCGGACGGGUGAGUAACGCGUGGGAACGUGCCUCUUGCUACGGAAUAGCCUCGGGAAACUGGGAGUAAUACCGUAUGUGCCCUACGGGGGAAAGAUUUAUCGGCAAGAGAUCGGCCCGCGUUGGAUUAGGUAGUUGGUGGGGUAAUGGCCUACCAAGCCGACGAUCCAUAGCUGGUUUGAGAGGAUGAUCAGCCACACUGGGACUGAGACACGGCCCAGACUCCUACGGGAGGCAGCAGUGGGGAAUCUUAGACAAUGGGCGCAAGCCUGAUCUAGCCAUGCCGCGUGAUCGAUGAAGGCCUUAGGGUUGUAAAGAUCUUUCGUGGGGGAAGAUAAUGACUGUACCCCAAGAAGAAGCCCCGGCUAACUCCGUGCCAGCAGCCGCGGUAA
This 447-nucleotide ribosomal RNA is filed under the name uncultured bacterium. RNAcentral's name for it is "partial 16S ribosomal RNA". It matches the Rfam family "Bacterial small subunit ribosomal RNA", at positions 29 to 523 of the family's 1533-position model. The record is from RNAcentral.